UACGUAGGGUGCAAGCGUUGUCCGGAAUUAUUGGGCGUAAAGAGCUCGUAGGCGGUCUGAAAGGUCAGCUGUGAAAACUCGAGGCUCAACCUCGAGACGUCGGUUGAAACCAUCUGGCUAGAGUCCGGAAGAGGAGUGUGGAAUUCCCGGUGUAGCGGUGAAAUGCGCAGAUAUCGGGAAGAACACCCGUGGCGAAGGCGGCACUCUGGGACGGUACUGACGCUGAGACGCGAAAGCGUGGGGAGCGAACAGG
Molecule: ribosomal RNA, 253 nt
Filed under: uncultured bacterium
Lineage: Bacteria
Description: partial 16S ribosomal RNA
Rfam family: Bacterial small subunit ribosomal RNA
Source: RNAcentral